This 253-nucleotide ribosomal RNA is filed under the name uncultured bacterium. RNAcentral's name for it is "partial 16S ribosomal RNA". It matches the Rfam family "Bacterial small subunit ribosomal RNA", at positions 524 to 776 of the family's 1533-position model. The record is from RNAcentral.
GACAGAGGUCCCGAGCGUUAGGCGGAAUCACUGGGCUUAAAGCGUGUGUAGGCGGCGGCCUAAGUACCUUGUGAAAUCCCACGGCUCACCCGUGGAACUGCUCGGUAUACUGGGUCGCUUGAGCCACUUAGGGGCUACCGGAACAAAUGGUGGAGCGGUGAAAUGCGUAGAUAUCAUUUGGAACGCCAAUGGUGAAAACAGGUAGCUGGGAGUGUGCUAACGCUGAGACACGAAAGCCAGGGGAGCAAACGGG